RNAcentral lists this unclassified non-coding RNA (5830 nucleotides) under Harpegnathos saltator (Jerdon's jumping ant). RNAcentral describes it as "muscle calcium channel subunit alpha-1, transcript variant X10". The record is from RNAcentral. Lineage: Eukaryota; Metazoa; Arthropoda; Insecta; Hymenoptera; Formicidae.
CUCAUGAACCCCGACCUUUUGCCGCAGGUCACGGAGGGAGCUUCGUAGCAGCCCAGUGCCGUAGCAUGCCGGCGAGCUGCAGCGCGUGGUGGGGCGCCUCUGAGACAGCGCGUCGCUCGGCGUCAGCCGUCUGCGUGGCAAGGCAGCAGAAGCAGCAACAGCAACCGCUGGAGCGUCGCCGUAGAAGGAGAAGAAGGAGGCGAGAUCGUCGUCGGAGGGGAAGCACGGAGCUCGACACCAGCGAUCGAUGAGCGCGGGGGGGGAUGGGGGCUCGGCACUGGGCCCCCCUGGGCUGCCGGGGGUCCAGCCGACUGCCGCGACCCCCUUCAACGCGACCCCCCCCGUCGUCGGCCAGCAGCAAUAUGGCGUCGGUGGCGAUGCACAGCUGGGUAACGCACAACCGCCUCCGCAGUCGCAGACAGGUGUGGGCCCCGGGGCCGCCACCGCCGCCGCCGCCGCCUCCAAGUCGGCCCCGAAGAGGCCCGCCAGACGGGGCGGCAAGCCGCCACCCGACAGGCCCACCAGGGCCCUCUUUUGCCUGCCUCUCAAGAAUCCUCUUAGAAAGAUGUGCAUCAGCGUCGUGGAGUGGAAACCUUUCGAAUGGCUUAUCCUUAUGACCAUAUUUGCGAACUGCGUCGCCCUGGCCGUCUACACGCCGUAUCCCUUUGGUGAUUCGAAUCAGACCAACCAAUACUUGGAGAAGAUAGAGUACGUUUUUCUUGUGAUUUUUACGGUGGAAUGCGUGAUGAAGAUCAUAGCUUACGGCUUCGUCGCCCAUCCGGGGGCUUAUCUCCGCAACGGCUGGAACCUGCUGGAUUUCACGAUAGUCGUUAUCGGUAUGGUGAGCACGGUGCUGACGAUACUCAUGAAGGAGGGCUUCGACGUCAAGGCCUUAAGGGCGUUUCGUGUUCUGCGUCCUCUCAGGCUGGUCUCCGGUGUUCCAAGUCUUCAGGUGGUCCUGAACUCUAUUUUGAGGGCGAUGAUACCGCUUUUGCACAUCGCUUUAUUAGUUCUCUUCGUCAUCAUCAUCUACGCCAUCAUCGGCCUCGAGCUGUUCUCCGGGAAGAUGCACAAAACUUGCAGGCACAACGUAACUGGCGAGAUAAUGGACAAUCCGGUACCUUGUGGCCCGGGAGGCUUCCAGUGCUCUCGGGUCGGGGCCGAGUACUACUGCAGCAAGCAGUUCUGGGAGGGUCCCAACUACGGCAUCACGAAUUUCGACAAUUUCGGACUGGCCAUGCUCACGGUCUUCCAAUGCGUCACCCUCGAGGGAUGGACGGACGUGCUUUAUAACAUCGAGGAUGCGAUGGGAAGCUCGUGGCAGUGGAUAUACUUCAUUUCGAUGGUCAUCCUCGGGGCUUUCUUCGUGAUGAAUCUAAUUCUCGGUGUGUUGUCUGGCGAAUUCUCCAAGGAGAGAGAGAAGGCGAAGGCGCGUGGCGACUUUCACAAACUCAGGGAGAAGCAGCAGAUCGAGGACGAUCUCAGGGGCUACCUCGACUGGAUAACGCAGGCGGAGGACAUCGAGCCGGAGGCUGACGAGCCGAAGAUGCAAGACGGAAAAUCCAAGCAACAGAACGAAAUGGAGAGCACGGAUCAAUUGGAGGGCGACGAGGAGGGUGUCCAACAGGAAUCCAUUUGGAAGAAGAAAAAGAGAGAUCUGGACAGAGUGAACAGGCGGAUGAGGCGAGCCUGCAGGAAGGCCGUGAAGUCCCAGGUCUUCUAUUGGCUCAUCAUAAUUCUGGUUUUCUUGAAUACCGGCGUCCUCGCCACGGAGCACUACAAUCAGCCGCGCUGGUUGGACGACUUUCAAGAGAUCACGAAUAUGUUUUUCAUCGUGCUGUUCUCCAUGGAGAUGAUGCUGAAGAUGUACAGUUUAGGCUUUCAGGGUUACUUCGUCUCGCUGUUCAAUCGCUUCGAUUGCUUCGUCGUGAUCGGCUCGAUCAGUGAGAUGAUCUUUACAAAUACACAUGUGAUGCCGCCUCUUGGCGUUUCCGUACUCCGUUGCGUCCGGCUGCUCAGGGUAUUCAAAGUAACAAAAUAUUGGAGAUCACUGUCGAAUCUGGUGGCCUCCUUACUCAACUCGAUACAGUCCAUCGCCUCCUUGUUGCUCCUGCUUUUCCUUUUCAUCGUCAUCUUCGCUCUUCUGGGCAUGCAGGUCUUCGGUGGAAAGUUCAGUUUCAGCGACAUGGAGGAGAAGACGCGUCACAACUUCGACAGCUUUUGGCAGAGCUUGCUCACCGUGUUUCAGAUACUGACCGGCGAGGACUGGAACGUCGUAAUGUACGUCGGAAUUCUGGCUUACGGCGGCGUCGCCAGCAUCGGUGUGCUCGCCUGCGUUUAUUUCAUCAUCCUCUUCAUAUGCGGCAACUAUAUCCUCUUGAACGUAUUCUUGGCUAUCGCCGUCGAUAAUCUCGCCGAUGCCGAGUCCCUAACUGCCAUCGAGAAGGAGGCCGAGGAGGAGGCGGAAAAAAAUAAAUCACGCAGCGGUUCACCGACGAGGGAUGAGGUCAGCGGUGAAGCUGGCGACGAUGGAGGCGAGGGGACCGGAGGAGAGGACGAAGGCGCCGGUACGGAUCUCGAACACGAUCCUAACGAGACAAUGGAGGACUACGAGGCCGCACUAGACACCGAAACAUCGGAAAAAAGCGAGGACAUGAAUACGCAUACGAAAGUGCGGCUCAACAUUGAGUCGGACGAGGAAGAAGUGGAGGAAGAGGAAGAGGAGGGAGUCGAACAGGAGGAGAUGCAAGAAGACGGACAGGAAGUGUCGGCUAGACCGCGAAGAAUGUCCGAAUACAACAUGGCGACUAAAAAGGAACCGAUACCGGCUGGCUCGGCGUUUUUCAUCUUUUCGAGCACUAAUAGGUUUCGCGUGUUCUGCCAUUGGUUCUGCAAUCACAGUUACUUCAGCAACGUGAUACUGAUCUGCAUUAUGAUCUCCUCCGCCAUGUUGGCCGCCGAAGAUCCAUUGAAAGCCUCGUCUUAUAGAAAUCAGAUACUCAACUACUUCGACUACUUCUUCACCACCGUCUUCACGAUCGAAAUCUGCCUCAAGAUGAUCUCAUACGGCUUCAUCAUCCACGACGGCGCGUUCUGCCGCUCGGCUUUCAAUCUGCUCGAUCUUCUUGUCGUUUGCGCCUCCCUCGUCUCCAUGACUUUCACUUCCGGCGCGUUCUCCGUGGUCAAAGUGCUCCGAGUGCUUCGCGUGCUGAGGCCGCUACGCGCGAUUAAUCGUGCCAAGGGACUGAAGCACGUAGUACAGUGCGUCAUCGUAGCGGUAAAGACUAUCGGAAACAUAGUCCUCGUCACCAGCCUCCUGCAGUUCGUGUUCGCCGUCAUUGGCGUACAGCUCUUCAAGGGCAAGUUUUUCUAUUGUACCGACGCAUCGAAAAUGACGAAGAACGACUGCCAGGGCACCUAUUUGGAAUUCGAAAACGGUAACAUCAAUAAGCCGAUCGUGAAGGAGCGAGCGUGGCUGCAGUAUCGUUUUCACUUCGAUGACGUUGCCAAGGCGAUGCUGACCCUCUUCACGGUCUCGACUUUCGAAGGUUGGCCAUCACUGUUAGAGUGGUCGAUCGACUCCAAUCAAGAGAAUCAUGGACCAAUUCAUAACUUUCGGCCGAUCGUGGCCGCCUACUACAUCAUCUACAUCAUCAUCAUCGCGUUCUUCAUGGUGAACAUCUUCGUCGGUUUCGUUAUUGUCACCUUCCAGAACGAGGGCGAGCAAGAGUACAAAAACUGCGAGCUCGAUAAGAAUCAGAGAAAUUGCAUCGAGUUCGCGCUGAAGGCUAAGCCAGUGCGGCGAUACAUACCGAAGCAUCGAAUACAGUACAAAGUCUGGUGGUUCGUCACCUCCCAACCCUUCGAGUACACGAUAUUCACAUUAAUCAUGAUCAACACCGUGACGCUCGCGAUGAAGUUUUAUCGGCAACCGCAAAUGUACACGGAGGCCCUGGACGUCCUCAAUAUGAUCUUCACCGCGGUAUUCGCCAUGGAGUUUGUGUUCAAGCUGGCAGCAUUUCGAUUUAAGAAUUACUUCGGCGAUGCGUGGAACGUCUUCGAUUUUAUUAUCGUGCUCGGCAGUUUCAUCGAUAUCGUUUAUUCGGAGCUCAACCCUGGGUCCUCCAUCAUUUCGAUCAACUUCUUCAGACUGUUUCGCGUGAUGCGACUGGUCAAGCUGCUGAGCAGAGGAGAGGGCAUUCGUACGCUCUUGUGGACGUUCAUUAAAUCCUUUCAGGCUCUGCCCUACGUCGCUCUACUUAUUAUAAUGCUCUUCUUUAUUUACGCUGUGAUAGGCAUGCAGGUCUUUGGGAAAAUCGCGAUCGACGACGAGACGUCGAUAAAUCGCAACAAUAAUUUCCAGUCCUUUCCACAAGCCGUGUUAGUUCUAUUUCGAUCGGCGACGGGCGAGUCGUGGCAAGAAAUCAUGAUGGAUUGCUCAGCGCAGCCGGGCAUAGUCAUGUGCGAUCAAAACAGCGACGAAUUCAACAACCCGGUCGGCUGCGGAUCGGACAUUGCAUUUCCCUACUUCAUAUCUUUCUACGUGCUCUGCUCAUUUCUCAUUAUUAAUCUCUUCGUCGCCGUUAUCAUGGACAACUUCGACUACUUGACGAGAGACUGGUCGAUCCUCGGGCCGCACCACUUGGACGAGUUUAUCCGCCUGUGGUCGGAAUACGAUCCUGACGCGAAAGGACGUAUCAAGCAUCUCGACGUGGUAACGUUGCUGAGGAAGAUAUCGCCGCCUCUAGGUUUUGGGAAGCUGUGUCCUCACAGGGUAGCCUGCAAGAGACUCGUCUCGAUGAACAUGCCGUUGAACAGCGACGGCACCGUCCUGUUCAACGCGACGUUGUUCGCUGUCGUGAGGACGUCGUUGAGGAUCAAGACAGAGGGUAACAUUGACGACGCGAAUGCCGAGCUCAGGGCGGUGAUCAAGAAGAUCUGGAAGAGGACCAGUCCGAAGCUCCUGGAUCAGGUCGUUCCACCGCCCGGAGUGGACGACGAGGUGACGGUAGGCAAGUUUUACGCGACCUUCCUCAUCCAGGACUACUUCCGGCGAUUCAAGAAACGCAAGGAACAGGAAAUGAAGGACGGCGACAAGGAUUGCCACAACACCGUGACUCUUCAGGCUGGGUUGAGGACGCUGCACGAGGCCGGCCCCGAGUUGAAACGCGCCAUUUCCGGCAACUUGGAAGAACUCCUCGACGACAAUCCGGAGCCUAUGCACAGGAGAAACCAUUCGCUCUUUGGCAGCGUGUGGUCCAGCAUGCGGAAAGGACACCACAGCUUCCACAGGGCGAGGUCGUUAAAGGUUAACUCUACCGCCGCAAAGGCUUCCCCGACCAAUUCCAUAGACUUCUUGCCGUAUUCCUCGUUGCAGAGGGCCGGCGGCCCGGAUGCCGCUAAUCAAAUCACUGCGAGGUCUCACCAAGUUGUGCCAAAUGUCGCGGGUGGUCUGAGCGAUGGCGCGAUGAAUCAAAUGGGGAUAGACCCACGACUGACGGGCAUGGAGGAGAACAUACCCCUGAGACCGCUCGCUGUCUUCGGCAACCCCGUGCAACAGACGCCUUAUCAGAGCACGUACAAGGUGGUCGAUUCCCUGGGCCGCAGAGAGUAACGGAAGCAUCGGCGCAGAGCGCCUGUCCCACAGCCUGCCCGGGAGUCCCGCGGACCGGAAGCCGAAUUUCGAGGUCAUCGGCAGCGCGGAGAGUCUCGUCGGUCGGGUGCUGGUGGAGCAAGGUCUCGGCAAGUACUGCGACCCGGACUUCGUGCGCUACACGUCGCGCGAGAUGCAGGAGGCGCUGGACAUGACGCGGGAGGAGAUGGACCGGGC